Molecule: ribosomal RNA, 881 nt
Filed under: uncultured bacterium
Lineage: Bacteria
Description: bacterial SSU rRNA
Rfam family: Bacterial small subunit ribosomal RNA
Source: RNAcentral
UUGAUUAUGGCUCAGGAUGAACGCUGGCGGCGUGCUUAACACAUGCAAGUCGAGGGGCAGCAUAAUGGAUAGCAAUAUCUAUGGUGGCGACCGGCGCACGGGUGCGUAACGCGUAUGCAACCUACCUUUAACAGGGGGAUAACACUGAGAAAUUGGUACUAAUACCCCAUAAUAUCAUAGAAGGCAUCUUUUAUGGUUGAAAAUUCCGAUGGUUAGAGAUGGGCAUGCGUUGUAUUAGCUAGUUGGUGGGGUAACGGCUCACCAAGGCGACGAUACAUAGGGGGACUGAGAGGUUAACCCCCACACUGGUACUGAGACACGGACCAGACUCCUACGGGAGGCAGCAGUGAGGAAUAUUGGUCAAUGGACGCAAGUCUGAACCAGCCAUGCCGCGUGCAGGAUGACGGCUCUAUGAGUUGUAAACUGCUUUUGUACGAGGGUAAACGCAGAUACGUGUAUCUGUCUGAAAGUAUCGUACGAAUAAGGAUCGGCUAACUCCGUGCCAGCAGCCGCGGUAAUACGGAGGAUUCAAGCGUUAUCCGGAUUUAUUGGGUUUAAAGGGUGCGUAGGCGGUUUGAUAAGUUAGAGGUGAAAUUUCGGGGCUCAACCCUGAACGUGCCUCUAAUACUGUUGAGCUAGAGAGUAGUUGCGGUAGGCGGAAUGUAUGGUGUAGCGGUGAAAUGCUUAGAGAUCAUACAGAACACCGAUUGCGAAGGCAGCUUACCAAACUAUAUCUGACGUUGAGGCACGAAAGCGUGGGGAGCAAACAGGAUUAGAUACCCUGGUAGUCCACGCAGUAAACGAUGAUAACUCGUUGUCGGCGAUACACAGUCGGUGACUAAGCGAAAGCGAUAAGUUAUCCACCUGGGGAGUACGUUCCC